AUACUGUAUAGUGCCCUACGUCUGACCAGGGAUAGGUGGUAUAUUAGGUGGUAUAUUUCUACACUGUAUAGUGCCCUACAUCUGACCAGGGAUAGGUGGUAUAAUAGAUGGUAUAUUCCUACACUGUAUAGUGCCCUACAUCUGACCAGGGCUAGGUGGUAUAAUAGAUGGUAUAUUCCCAUACUGUAUAGUGCCCUACGUCUGACCAGGGAUAGGUGGUAUAAUAGAUGGUAUAUUCCUACACUGUAUAGUGCCCUACAUCUGACCAGGGAUAGG
Non-coding RNA from Oncorhynchus mykiss (rainbow trout), 276 nucleotides. Lineage: Eukaryota; Metazoa; Chordata; Actinopteri; Salmoniformes; Salmonidae. The record is from RefSeq and is a predicted model, not a curated record.